This 707-nucleotide ribosomal RNA is filed under the name uncultured bacterium. Its description in RNAcentral is "bacterial SSU rRNA". It matches the Rfam family "Bacterial small subunit ribosomal RNA", at positions 94 to 818 of the family's 1533-position model. The record is from RNAcentral.
AGUGGCGGACGGGUGAGUAACGCGUGAGUACCCUGCCCCUAGGAAAGGGAUAGCGUCUGGAAACGGACGGUAAUACCAUAUAAAGUAUAUUAACGGCAUCGUAGAUAUACCAAAGCUGAGGCGCCUAAGGAUGGACUCGCGUCUGAUUAGAUAGUUGGUGGGGUAACGGCCUACCAAGUCGACGAUCAGUAGCCGGACUGAGAGGUUGAACGGCCACAUUGGGACUGAGACACGGCCCAGACUCCUACGGGAGGCAGCAGUGGGGAAUAUUGCACAAUGGGCGAAAGCCUGAUGCAGCAACGCCGCGUGAAGGAAGACGGUUUUCGGAUUGUAAACUUCUGUUCUUAGUGAAGAAUAAUGACGGUAACUAAGGAGCAAGCCACGGCUAACUACGUGCCAGCAGCCGCGGUAAUACGUAGGUGGCAAGCGUUGUCCGGAAUUACUGGGUGUAAAGGGAGCGUAGGCGGGAAGCCAAGUCAGCUGUGAAAACUACGGGCUUAACCUGUAGACUGCAGUUGAAACUGGCUUUCUUGAGUGAAGUAGAGGUUGGCGGAAUUCCGAGUGUAGCGGUGAAGUGCGUAGAUAUUCGGAGGAACACCGGUGGCGAAGGCGGCCAACUGGGCUUUAACUGACGCUGAGGCUCGAAAGUGUGGGGAGCAAACAGGAUUAGAUACCCUGGUAGUCCACGCAGUAAACGAUGAAUGCUG